RNAcentral lists this ribosomal RNA (254 nucleotides) under uncultured bacterium. RNAcentral describes it as "partial 16S ribosomal RNA". It matches the Rfam family "Bacterial small subunit ribosomal RNA", at positions 524 to 776 of the family's 1533-position model. The record is from RNAcentral.
UACGGGGGGAGCAAGCGUUGUUCGGAUUUACUGGGCGUAAAGGGCGCGUAGGCGGUCGUGACAAGUCACUUGUGAAAUCUCCGGGCUUAACUCGGAACGGUCAAGUGAUACUGUCGGACUAGAGUGCAGAAGGGGCAACUGGAAUUCUCGGUGUAGCGGUGAAAUGCGUAGAUAUCGAGAGGAACACCUGCGGCGAAGGCGGGUUGCUGGGCUGACACUGACGCUGAAGUGCGAAAGCUAGGGGAGCGAACGGG